Daphnia pulicaria is the source of this 542-nucleotide long non-coding RNA. RefSeq lists it as uncharacterized. The transcript has 3 exons. The record is from RefSeq and is a predicted model, not a curated record. NCBI's taxonomy places the organism in Eukaryota, Metazoa, Arthropoda, Branchiopoda, Diplostraca, Daphniidae.
UUAAGGGGGGAUCGAUUUUUAAUAAAUUCUAAUCGAUAUCUAAGUAUUGCUGAUUAGACGAUUAGGGUCGUCUGCUUUCUUUUUGGUUUACAACUUACAAGUACACCAGCAUGAUAGUUGAUAGGCUUCAAGUUUUGAAAAGGAGACUAAGAUCAGCUAAGAUUUCAAUUAAAAACGGAACAAUAACUUGGAUGGCUUUGGACGUGGAUGCACGAAAAUAAAAUUACUUAAAUGUGGUCUUCGUCAAUCGUCAUGUCAACUUUAGUGUCGCAGCUUUCCAGGUUUCCAUGCUCUCCUCUCCAUGCUGUUUGGCAGAUUUGAGGCCUGAGCCUGCUGGUGGUGCUGGACCUCCUUUAACUGAUGACCUCCUGUCAUCAGCAACAAUCACAGUAUCAUCACUUAGAUAAACAGCAUCCCAUUCAAUUAGAGAAAAUUCCAGCGUCGACCGAAUUACGGAUCUCUUCUUCCCUUUUCUGUAAAUGUUUUCGUGUAUGUCCAUGUGAAUAUGGGUGUAUUCACGAGGACUCCCUUUUUCCUAUCCU